GCCCUGUUAGCUCAGUUGGUAGAGCAGCCGUUUCGUAAGCGGCAGGUCGCCGGUUCAAAUCCGGCAUAGGGCU
Molecule: transfer RNA, 73 nt
Filed under: Arthrobacter caoxuetaonis
Lineage: Bacteria; Bacillati; Actinomycetota; Actinomycetes; Micrococcales; Micrococcaceae
Description: Arthrobacter sp. zg-Y453 tRNA-Thr
Rfam family: tRNA
About the family: Transfer RNA (tRNA) molecules are approximately 80 nucleotides in length. Their secondary structure includes four short double-helical elements and three loops (D, anti-codon, and T loops).
Source: RNAcentral